This 487-nucleotide ribosomal RNA is filed under the name uncultured bacterium. RNAcentral describes it as "bacterial SSU rRNA". It matches the Rfam family "Bacterial small subunit ribosomal RNA", at positions 28 to 521 of the family's 1533-position model. The record is from RNAcentral.
GAUGAACGCUAGCGGCAGGCUUAAUACAUGCAAGUCAAGGGGGUAGCAAUACAACCGGCGCACGGGUGAGUAACGCGUACACAACAUACCCAUAUACUGGAGUAUAGCUUUGGGAAACUGAAGGUAAUCCUCCAUAACAUUGCGAGAGGGCAUCUGAUUGCAAUUAAAGUUCCGGCGGUAUAUGAUUGGUGCGCGUUUGAUUAGCUAGUUGGUAGGGUAACGGCCUACCAAGGCGACGAUCAAUAGCUGGCGUGAGAGCGCGACCAGCCACACUGGAACUGAGACACGGUCCAGACUCCUACGGGAGGCAGCAGUAGGGAAUAUUGGACAAUGGGCGAAAGCCUGAUCCAGCCAUGCCGCCGUGAUAGAUGAAGGCCCUCUGGGUUGUAAAUAUCCUUUUAUCUGGGAAGAAACUCCUCUAUUCUUAGUAGGCCUGACGGUUACCAGAGGAAUAAGCACCGGCUAACUCCGUGCCAGCAGCCGCGGU